AGGAACAGAGAUAAAAACACAACGUAAGGGAUAAUAUCUCUUAUAGAGCCGGUAGGUAGUCCGGCCACACCACUUUGGUGUAAGUAGCCCUCCCUCCUUAGGGUCGUCCGUUCUUUGUUCAGUACAA
This is a regulatory RNA element of Clostridium sp. CAG:43, 127 nucleotides long. It matches the Rfam family "azaaromatic riboswitch aptamer (yjdF RNA)". The record is from Rfam. Lineage: Bacteria; Bacillati; Bacillota; Clostridia; Eubacteriales; Clostridiaceae.